Molecule: long non-coding RNA, 2752 nt
Organism: Lytechinus pictus (painted urchin)
Lineage: Eukaryota; Metazoa; Echinodermata; Echinoidea; Temnopleuroida; Toxopneustidae
Exons: 2
Source: RefSeq, a predicted model, not a curated record
GAUUCAUGGCGGGACAUUUUGAAAAAAGCGGCUGUGUGGCAGAAGAGAGCAUGAAUUUCACCAACAGGACAAGUACGACAACUAAAAACUACUCACAGACGGGAAUAAAACAAUAAAAUAACAACGAGAGAAGGAUUUAAACAGCGGGCAUGUGUUCUCAAACAAAACUGGGCAUCCUUCUGGUUUUCUUUUCCUGAUAAUUAUUACUGCGUACGAUCGAGAGUAAAAUGAUGGGAACUUCAGGAAGCGAUUUCUAACAUAGGUUUGGUGAUAAUCAGCAAAGAAUUAAUCCGGAGUGGUCCAAGACUUUCAAUAAGAUCGAUUGCCAUCUGUUGCAAGUACACCCUAAGCCACAAUUGGAAAUGGAAUAGAGAUAUAUACACUCGACAAGACUACACAUAACCAUCCAUGCGGCCUGGUCAGCGUAGAAAUUCAUGGAGUAGGAAUUAGUUGUAUAGGAGAAAGUGGCUUGGAACUUGAAAGGCAUCCGCCCAUGCAUCUGCACGCAGCUAUCUGAUGGAGAAUGGCCAUGCAAGUCGACUGACUUCCUCCAUGCACGAAAUGACUCAAUUUUAGUAUGAGAAGGAGUAGGACGUGGAUGGUCGACUUCUGUCGACGAGUAUCCUGAAAAUACCAUGGUGGAAAGUUCUCCCGAUGUAGUCCAUCGUGGUGAGGAGAUCAAGAUCAAGUUGAUCUUCCGCUUGCCUGAGGAACCCUGGGGAGGGAGCAGGGAAGGGAGGGGGGGGGGGGGUUCUAGAGCAUAUAAAGUAAAAAGGGUAUAACAAUUUCCAAACCCAAGAAGUAAUCUCCAACUCUGGAUACGUAAAAAGGGUAUUAUAAAGGCUAGAGAAAACAUGAAAAAUACUUGUUUAGGCGGGUAUCGUUCCUUUGAGAAGGGAUCUAAUGAAGAAUGUUUACUUUAGGGUCAAUUUUGAAAGUCCAUGGACGAGCAUCCAUCCAUCCAUUCCACCAACCAUCCAUCCAUUCACCCAUUUAUUCAUUCAUCUAUCCAUCCACCCAUCCAUCCAUUAAUCUAUCCGUCCAUUCAAGACAGCCAUCCAUCCAUUCAUUAAAGGACAAGUCCACCCCAACAAAAAGUUGAUUUGAAUAAAAAGAGAAAAAUCCAACAAGCAUAACACUGAAAAUUUCAUCAAAAUCGGAUGUAAACUAAGAAAGUUAUGACAUUUUAAAGUUUCGCUUAAUUUCACAAAACAAUUAUAUGCACAUCCUGGCUGGUAUGCAAAUGAGGAGACUAUGACGUCAUCCACUAACUAUUUCUUUUGUAUUUUAUUAUAUGAAAUAUGAAAUGUUCUUAUAUUCUCCUCAUUGUCAAGUGAUACAACAAUUAAUUCCUCUCUGAACUUGUGGAAUUAGCAUUGUUUAAUAUUAUAUGGUUCAGUCAAGUUGGUCCUUAUUGUCAAAUCUGUAAAAAAUAAAAUAUUGUAUAAUUCAAACAAUAACAAACAAAAGAAACAGUGAGUGAUGGAUUGUGCAUUAUCACAUGUUUUGUGAAAAAUAAGCGAAACUUUAAAAUGUCAUAACUUUCUUAUUUUACAUCCGAUUUUGAUGAAAUUUUCAGAACUAUGCUAGUUUGAGUUUUCUCUAUUUAUUCAAGUCAGCAUUUUCCUGGGGUGGACUUGACCUUUAAUAUUCAUGCGUGCUCGCAUACAUGCAUUCAUCUAUCUAUCUAUCUAUCUAUCUAUCCAUCCAUCCAUCCAUCCGUCCGUCCUCCGUCCGUCCAUCGAUUAAUUAAUUCAUGUAUGCUCGCAUACAUACAUUCAUCCGUCCAUCCAUCCAUUUAUUCAUUCAUUUAUCCAUCGAUCCAUCCAUCCAUCCAUUCAUUCAUUCGUUCAUUCACUCACUUAGCCAUUCAUUCAUGCAUUCACUUAGCCAAUCAUUCAUCCAUUCAUUCACUCAGCCAUUCAUUGAUUUGUGUAUGACCACAUUCAUUCUUUUAUUUAUUCAUCCAUCCAUCCAAUCACUCAUUUGUUCAUACGAAUGUCAAAUGAACAAAAAUUGUAAUAUAUAUAUAUUUAUAUUGUAAUUUUUUUAUGUUGUCUGAUAUUGAUUACUUCCUCUCUUUGAGUUAUGUUUAUUCAGUUUACAUCUUUUAGGGUGAUUAUCUUCAUUCACUCUUGGUGCACAGGUUAGAUGCAGAAGUGUAGAAAAUGUGUAGACCAUACAACCUCUCAGAUGCAAAUUCACAUUACAGAUUAAAAAAAAAGACUGCCGGUGAUAAGGCAAAUAUUUCAAUGGACCGUUUUGAAGUGAAUUAAUUUUAUGGAUAUUUCUAUCUCUUUUUUUUUUUUGGGGGGGGGGGGGGAUUGGGGUGCUGGGACUAAGUAACGAUAUAUUUCUGAUAUCUGCUUUUGAUGAAUUAGUCCAUUCUGUACCGACCGCACAGAAACGUUGUAAGUCUAAUAGAACGUUAACAGUAAGCCCAGUCACAUCUUCCGGAUUGUGAAGUCAAAACGCGUAUUUCAAUGUGUAAAGUAUGUAUUGUUGUAACAUUAGGCUAUGCUGCCACAUUACCUGUUGUAACAGGGCCUCUGUGAACGCAUUGUUACCUUAACAACGUUUCUGUGCGGUCAGUACUGGUAAUUAUCACCUGACAAACUUUAAAGUCUUCAAAAAUAAGCUUUAUAGAAUUUGACAAAUAAAAAUGUUUCGUUGUAUGCUUUUGAUUGCUCCCAUCUCCCCGAAGAAUAAAAUACGAUAGUGCUAUUUUACAAGUGCACCUGGUAAAUCCGAA